This 439-nucleotide ribosomal RNA is filed under the name uncultured bacterium. RNAcentral's name for it is "partial 16S ribosomal RNA". It matches the Rfam family "Bacterial small subunit ribosomal RNA", at positions 339 to 795 of the family's 1533-position model. The record is from RNAcentral.
CUACGGGGUGCUCCAGUGGGGAAUAUUGCACAAUGGAGGAAACUCUGAUGCAGCAACGCCGCGUGGAGGAUGACACUUUUCGGAGCGUAAACUCCUUUUAUAUAGGAAGAAGAUGACGGUACUAUAUGAAUAAGCGCCGGCUAACUCCGUGCCAGCAGCCGCGGUAAUACGGAGGGCGCAAGCGUUACUCGGAAUCACUGGGCGUAAAGAGCGUGUAGGCGGAUUAAAAAGUCAGAAGUGAAAUCCUAUAGCUUAACUAUAGAACUGCUUCUGAAACUCUUAAUCUAGAAUAUGGGAGAGGUAGAUGGAAUUUCUGGUGUAGGGGUAAAAUCCGUAGAGAUCAGAAGGAAUACCGAUUGCGAAGGCGAUCUACUAGAACAUUAUUGACGCUGAGACGCGAAAGCGUGGGGAGCAAACAGGAUUAGAUACCCUGGUAGUC